CAUCAUUAUUGCAUCUGUUUUUGUUAAAAUUAUAAAUUAUCUGUUUUUUAUUAUUUUUAUUUUUUUAUUUCUUAUUGUUAAUUAUGCCUUUUUUAAAUUUUUAUACAAUAUCUGGUACAGCUUGGAAUGUUAAGCCCUUUUACCAUUAAACCCCAACCAAUCAAUCAUUUGAAGGAAAGAAAUCACUGCAGUAAUUGCAAGCAUUACUCUGGAUGUUCUUGCUCUAGUGUGAAUCAAGGUUGAAUAUUGUUUCAUGUGUACCAUGCUGUUAAUGGCAUAUGCUUCAAAACAUUGUAAUGUUUUCAAAAAAUAUGUUCAUUAUUAACUGCAAUAAAAAUAUUUCAGAGCAUAUUGCACAGUGUCUCUUGCUACGUAAAUUCACAUCAAACUCCAUUAUUAUUUUUGGGCAUUUUGUAUUAAUUAAAUUAAUUUAUAAUUUUUUAAUGCUUUUUAUAAAUGAUAAAAGUAUAAGCAUUUUUUAUGAAAUGCUCACCAAACUAUUGAUUGGGAAUAAUGGACAUCAUGAGUAAUGUGUUAUUAUACUUGAAUUUUAUUUAAUAACACUUUUUGUCGCAAAGAUUUACAAUUCAUGGUCAUCUCUAAUUUACAAUACUGGAUAUAAACGAACCUAGUUUUCUAAGCUGCCAAUCAGUUAUCAUAAAGAUUUUUAAAAUUUCCCAAGUAUUCAAGUUGGGAAAUUUUUCUGCAUAAUAUCUUAAAGCAGCAUCUGCAUUCCAAUCAAUUUCAUCAUAAAUAAAUACUUCAUUACUAAUUCAUUAAAUGGAUACUGAUCUUUAUAUAAUUGCUC
This 808-nucleotide long non-coding RNA is filed under the name Androctonus crassicauda. The record is from RNAcentral. Lineage: Eukaryota; Metazoa; Arthropoda; Arachnida; Scorpiones; Buthidae.